AGCCCUGGCGAUGGGCAAAGAGACACCUUGUUGGUGGUAGUAUUCUUAUAUCAGUCAGGGGCAGAGCAGAUGGUAGUCCAUUGUUCAUCCUAGCUUGAUGCCUGGCAUGGUGGUCUCAGCUGUCUUAUACCUAGGACUCAUAA
Meriones unguiculatus (Mongolian gerbil) is the source of this 143-nucleotide small nucleolar RNA. The record is from Ensembl. NCBI's taxonomy places the organism in Eukaryota, Metazoa, Chordata, Mammalia, Rodentia, Muridae.